GUCUGAGAAAUGUCCACGGACCAGGAGACAAGACCCGGGAAGAAGGAUGGCCCUUGUUUCGGAGGGUAAUCAGGCCCUUACAUACACAGAGAGUCCAACGCUUUGCAGAAGAUGCACAUGGCAAGGCUGGGAGGAAGGUCUUCGGAAAACUCUGACACAUGCAGAGGCCUGGUGUGAGCGGGUGUUCUGGAAGGGGGCUGAGUUCUGGGUUUAGAUCAAUCUGCAGUGGAGACAGAGGAAGGAAAAUGAAACCAGCACUGCUCAAGAAAAAUAUAUUGUGAGCCACAUAUCACAUCUCAAUUUGGAACCUACAUGUCAAGUGCUCAGCAGCCACAGGAGGCCAGUAGCUGCUGUACCCGAUAGAGCAGGAUGGAGCAGCAGAUCAGAGCCGAGGACCAGGAUGGGCCUGACUGCUGCUGGAGGCCAGACUGAAGGAGCAGGGAGGAGGCAGGGAGGCCACAGGGAGGCUGUUGUGCAGGUCCGGGAGCAAGAUCCUGGUGCUGGCCUGGGAAGGUCAUUGUGGAGGCCAUGAGAAGUGGAUGGAUUCAGUACAAAGGCAAGGGGAGGCUGAGAGGGAAAGGGGGCGAGAAGAGUAUGGAAGCAGAGGCAGCCAGACAGUUUGUGUCUUCCAGGUUGCAACAGUCUCACAUCAGAUGAUGGCUGCGUGAGGAUUCUAGCCCAUAUUGCCCUCUGAUGCAAAAACAAAAGGCUGUCCUGCCCCUGGGGCCCCUAGGUUAGUCAUUCAGAGAUUUUCACUCCCUGAUAAGCAGGGGCAAGGCUCCUACUCAGCCCGGAAGUAGCACUCGCAUAAGAUUUUGGGAGUAAAAUCUCUGAGGGGGUGGAAUGAGACAGGAGGGAAAGAAGCAGGGCACAGCCAUUCAAGGAAUGACACAGCAAUAAACACCAAAAUAGUGGAAGAUUCAACCCCUCAGUGAGCCUUGAGGCUCAAUAUGGUGAGAGAUUUGACUUCUCGCAGACCUUGAGCUUCAUUAUAUGCUCGUUGUAAUAUAUCCUGGUAAAUGGCACUACCACAAGCACUAUGACAGCUCCAAGGCUAACCGUGAAAGGUCGAAGAGUGGGCAGUGGCCAAAUUCCUGGGAAUCCCAGCCCCUUCUCCAGGGUGGUUAGAAUGAUCUUCCCACUUGUUAGCAUAUGAAGCUACCGAGCCCAUAAAAACUGGCAACACCAUGACACGUGGCAGCCUCUCUUGGUCCCUCAGCUUCAGAGAUGGCCCGUACUCUGUCUAUGGAGUGUGUAUCUACUUUUACUUUAACCUGAGCACCCAACCCCGACACCUCAUGGCCUUUCUCUUGCCUUC
Non-coding RNA from Vicugna pacos (alpaca), 1318 nucleotides. The record is from RefSeq and is a predicted model, not a curated record. NCBI's taxonomy places the organism in Eukaryota, Metazoa, Chordata, Mammalia, Artiodactyla, Camelidae.